Molecule: ribosomal RNA, 614 nt
Filed under: uncultured bacterium
Lineage: Bacteria
Description: bacterial SSU rRNA
Rfam family: Bacterial small subunit ribosomal RNA (bases 1-530)
Source: RNAcentral
CCUACGGGAGGCAGCAGUGGGGAAUAUUGCACAAUGGGCGAAAGCCUGAUGCAGCAACGCCGCGUGAGGGAUGACGGCCUUCGGGUUGUAAACCUCUUUUAGUAGGGAAGAAGGGCCUUCGGGUUUGACGGUACCUGCAGAAAAAGCACCGGCUAACUACGUGCCAGCAGCCGCGGUAAUACGUAGGGUGCAAGCGUUGUCCGGAAUUAUUGGGCGUAAAGAGCUCGUAGGCGGUUUGUCGCGUCUGCUGUGAAAACCCCGAGGCUCAACCUCGGGCCUGCAGUGGGUACGGGCAGACUAGAGUGCGGUAGGGGAGAAUGGAAUUCCUGGUGUAGCGGUGGAAUGCGCAGAUAUCAGGAGGAACACCGAUGGCGAAGGCAGUUCUCUGGGCCGUAACUGACGCUGAGGAGCGAAAGCGUGGGGAGCGAACAGGAUUAGAUACCCUGGUAGUCCACGCCGUAAACGUUGGGCGCUAGAUGUGGGGACCUUUCCACGGUUUCCGUGUCGCNGACUACGACAUAGCGCCCGCCGUCGGAGGUACGGCCGCGACGACGUAAACUAACAAAGAAGUAGACGGCGNGAGACGACGCCGACGACGACGACGAGGGAGGAGG